UACGUAGGGGGCAAGCGUUAUCCGGAUUCACUGGGUGUAAAGGGAGCGUAGACGGCCAGGCAAGCCUGGAGUGAAAGCCCGGGGCCCAACCCCGGGACUGCUCUGGGAACUGUCCGGCUGGAGUGCGGGAGGGGCAGGCGGAAUUCCUGGUGUAGCGGUGAAAUGCGUAGAUAUACGGAGGAACACCAGUGGCGAAGGCGGAUUGCUGGACAGUAACUGACGCUGAGGCGCGAAAGCGUGGGGAGCAAACAGG
RNAcentral lists this ribosomal RNA (253 nucleotides) under uncultured bacterium. RNAcentral's name for it is "partial 16S ribosomal RNA". It matches the Rfam family "Bacterial small subunit ribosomal RNA", at positions 524 to 776 of the family's 1533-position model. The record is from RNAcentral.